UCCGGCUUAUCACCGGCAGUUUCUUUAGAGUGCCCAACUAAAUGAUGGCAACUAAAGACGAGGGUUGCGCUCGUUGCGGGACUUAACCCAACAUCUCACGACACGAGCUGACGACAGCCAUGCAGCACCUGUGUCCAGGUCCCGUAAGGGAAGGAAUCCAUCUCUGAAAACCGUCCUGGCAUGUCAAACGCUGGUAAGGUGGGGAUGACGUUGAGAGUACGUCC
Molecule: unclassified non-coding RNA, 224 nt
Filed under: uncultured Sphingomonadaceae bacterium
Lineage: Bacteria; Pseudomonadati; Pseudomonadota; Alphaproteobacteria; Sphingomonadales; Sphingomonadaceae
Description: contains 16S-23S intergenic spacer region
Source: RNAcentral